UUUUCUCUGAUGAAAUGACCUAAAUCAAGCAGAUUGUAUGUUAAAUGUAUAGAACUCAUAUAACCGAACUGCAACAGUCAAAAAAUUGAGAUUGAGUUUGUCGUUGCUUCUUUAAUUAGCAUACACUAGCUGAAUCUACUUGUUUUUUUAUAGGGAGUGAGUGGGCUGUGAGAACAAGCAAAGACAGAGAUUUGAGGAAUAUAUCCAUAAUUCCUCACCUUAACCUUAUUCACAGAAUUCGUAAUUUGCAGUUAAAUUAAUAAUCUAGAGAGAAUUAAUACCUUAACAGCUCAUGGCCAACCCAUUUGAAAUCCCUAGCCUAUCAUUCAAGGAGCAAUGUCUUUGACCAACCUCAACCAAAGUCUAACUUUGUUAACUUUUCCUGCAAAAUCAACAGCAGAAUUAGUAAAUACACAAACAUAUACACAUACUAUCAAGUUGAAAUUUCAACUAUUUUACUAGGAGACUUUAUUUCCAACAUGAUCAUCAGCAGCAACAACACCAGGAUAAUCAGAAGACAAAUCCAUCACAAGCAAUGAAUAAUCUUGAAUCCCCUUAUUAUUGAAUAAUCAUGGUAUGCCCCCGAAAAAAAUUAGAAGUUCA
RNAcentral lists this long non-coding RNA (603 nucleotides) under Solanum tuberosum (potato). RNAcentral describes it as "long non-coding RNA (STUB_LNC006043)". The record is from RNAcentral. Lineage: Eukaryota; Viridiplantae; Streptophyta; Magnoliopsida; Solanales; Solanaceae.